Molecule: long non-coding RNA, 12897 nt
Organism: Oncorhynchus masou masou (cherry salmon)
Lineage: Eukaryota; Metazoa; Chordata; Actinopteri; Salmoniformes; Salmonidae
Exons: 4
Source: RefSeq, a predicted model, not a curated record
CCAAAGAAGAAGAAGCCCGUCGAAAUGGACGUAUUUGACAGUGUUGCCACAAUUUAUCUCGACUUCGUGAUUUUGCAAAUCGGAGACUUCAGGAGUUCACUGGUCUAUCUAAUGCAAUAGCCAAUCAAGGAGCAACCAGGAUAACUGAAUGAGUCUGGAUAUGAUCUGCAGUUGCAGAUGAACUUAUUGACCAAGUUCUCCUGGAAGCCUUUGACAACAUGGAGGAAAGUUGGGACAGCAUAGAGGAAGCAGGAGACUACAAAACAGAUGCAGCUAGACAUUUACCAAGCUGUUCAUGUCAGCAAAUCACUGAACACAAGGGAACAGGAGUGGGAGAAGAGAUCCUGACUGACAAGACAUAUAAGAGCAUGACAGCAUUUAAGGUGAAGAAUGAUGAAGGCUCUGCUCCUUUUUCGGACAUCCACAGUCAUUCAAAGAUCAUAGCUCAAGAUCUUCAACGAAAGGCGGCAGAGAGGAGGGCAACAAAGGUCACCCACGAUAAGUGUCCUUCUUUCUCAGAAAGAUCAUGCCCCGUGGGCCUAACAAAUGUUCAGGAAAUAUGUAUUUUGUCUUCUGAAUUUGAUGUAAAAAAGAUCAGAGUGAGAGAUUCUGCUGCAGUGGAGGUUGGCACUAUAGUUUCUUUCCCCCCCUCUUCAAGCAGUCUGUCAAAAAACAUAAAAGGAAAUGUCACACUUUCACCCACAGAGAAGAUUGCUGUGACUCAAGGGCUAUCAGCCUCUUCUCUAAGUGACCACGCACGAUAUUCAAGAGAGGUAGUGGAUGAGAAGACCUAUGCUGAUGUUUCCCAUCAAACGUUACCACUUGCAGAUACCAAGAAAAGAAAAGAGAAAAUGUCCUUUAAUACCCGUUUGCCUGUGAUUGAAAAGCAACAAAAGCGAAAAGCUGGUCGGCCAUAUAAGAAGAAAACUCUAGUGAAAAUGGCUAAACUUUUAGCAAUUGGCCAAGAACGCUAUUCCGAUGCCACAGAAAUACACGGGGUGACUCACCAUAAGGACACUCUAACACCCUCACGCAAACAAACAAAAGAGAAGAAAAAGGAUGAAAUGUUUCCCCCAACUACCUCAAGUGACACAUGGUUUGGAUGCAAUUCAACAUCUGAUUCUUCAAACCACCUUACUAUUGCACAUUCAGAUGACAUCAUUUCUGCACCUCAAAUAGCUGGGCCAAGUAUUUCUAUGGAAUUGAACCAACCCUCCAGGAUACAGAAAACUUCAAAGACCACACAAAAAGAAGAAUUCAAAAUAACAGAAGUGUCUGCGCUGAAAUUGACCACUGUCACAAAGGGUCAAUAUUCUCCUAUAGAACGAGCUCUGACACACAACACCUUGGUGCCAUCUGAGAAUGCAUUGAAAGUACAAAAGAGAACUGGAAGAAAUAAAACGAUGCUAUCCAAAGGAGGAAAUAGAAGAACUCAGGCAUUCAAAAGAAACAGAAUGAAUCCGAGCAGCCCCCAGUCACAGAGUUGCAAUGCAACACCCCAAGAAAAAAAUUGUUUGGGACUCUCUCAAGAUGAGACUCCACUGCAGUCAUCAGAUAUAAAAAUGGAGCCCAAAUACUUGUCAGACACUUCUGUCUUGGAUGUAACGAACAAUGUGAAGGAACACCAAAAAAGAGAACCUCCCUCCAAAAACUUUACAGAAGGGAGUAUUAAAAGUCCUGGUAUAAUGUCAGACAAGUCAAAGCAUUUUAUCACUCAAAAAGAUCAGGGGGCACAAAGUGACAUGAAGAGGGAAAUCAAAGAUAAUGUAACUGCUAACAUAUCAGCUGUAGGAAACCAGGGGGAAAUGACUCCAAGAACUCAAGAGCGCUCAAGACUAAAGAGUAUUGAGGAUGUGCUCAAAUUGAAGCGGAAAGCUGGUCGACCAUUCAAGAAAAAUAGGUUGUUUAAAAUGGAUAAGCUGGUAGCGAUAGCACAGGAUGGCAGAACUAAUGAUCCAGAGAAUAGUGGCAUGACGAAAGAGUGUGUUCCAACAUUCCCUGCAUAUCACCCCCUAAAGUCAAAAGUAAAGAAGGAAAAGACUGACACAAAAACCUUGGCAUCAAAUUCACCUACAAGCCCCUCAAGAAGAUCCAACAGAACAUGUAAAACUACCCCAAAAACUGUUCAAAAGAUGCAAGUCCUCACACACACGCUCGCCCAAUCAGUUUUAUCAGUUCCAUCCAAUCUCAUUGAACUCAAAUCAGAGGACACUACUCUGAUCUCCUCAACGGUCUCUCCAAUUAUUUUAUGUAGUGCAGAUAUUUUACCUCAACAGGAAAGCCACAAAUGUGGAAAACCCCCGAAGAAAAACACAAAAGUUAACAAACACAUGACCACUGCAGUCCCACAUCCUCCAAUAUUUGCAGUAGUUUCCAAGGCCCUUGCUGAGAUUGUCUCUACAGGGAAUGGUAAAGAAGCAAAGAAAGACAUUGGAUCCAAAAGAAAAUACAAACGGGUGCCUGGAACUCGUGGUGUAUCAGAAUUGCUGUGUACAAAUGGAAUUCCUCAGGGAGAUAUACAUACCCAAACUAAUAGGGAUGAGGUGUAUUCCAAGACUUCAGGCCCAACUGUGCCACAAUCCCAGAACACACGGAAGCGUGAGGUUAAAAAUAAAAAAGGUACAGAAAAGGCAGCUGUCCCAUUAUCUGAUGAAACUGUCCUUCCUGAUUCAGAUUGCCAGGUGCAAAGUCACAGUGCAUCUCAGGAAACGCCUUUGCUGCCAUCAAAGAUUAAGACACAAUCUGACACAUUAUACCUGACACCUAGAACGAUUAGGAAGAAAAAUCCCAAAACGUGUAAGGAAAUAAAAAAAACUUCACCGAAAGUUGAGAAAGCACAGGUGCCAUCUCUGGAUCCUUCCCUUGGAGUGGAACAUAGAUGUCAUGAUGUGCCACAUGUGGAUCAAAUGAAACAAGUGGAAGCAGUGAUAGAGUCAGUAAUUGAGGAUCUCCACAAACCACUGAAACAUGUGAGUCAUAGACAAAAGAUCAAAGAAAAGGCUAGCAAUGUUCUUGCAUUAACUCUGAAUCCUUCACUUGGAGUGGAACAUAGAACUCCUGAUGUGCCACAAGUGGAUCAUAUAAGACAAAUGGAAGCAGUGAUAGAGUCCGUGAUGGAGGAUCUCCACAAAAAAGACGCCAGUAGUGUUGCUCCGUUAAAACCAACCACCUUUUCUGCCUCGGAUAACCUGUUGGAACAGCAUAACCAUAGUACAUUACCUCAAUCUUCUUUUAUGUCAUCCGGAGAGACAAAAUCAGGCUUGAAACAUGCAAUACCCAAAACGUCAACAAAAAACAAGUCAAAAACAUUAAUGAAAGACAAACUUACCUGCAAAAGCUAUUCAAAAAAUCCUAAGAAAGCAGCUAUGCAAACUUCAGUUCCUACAUCUGACACAAUGCAUGCGUCAACAGUUAAGAAGAAUUCCAAUAUUUGUAAAGAAAGAAAAAGAUCUUCACAAAAAGCUGAAAAAGCACAGGUGUCAUCUCUGGAUCCUUCCCUUGAAGUGGAACAUAAAAGUCCUGAAAUGGAUCAAUGGAGAGAAGAGGAAGCAUUGAUUGACUCAGUGAAUGAGAAUCUCCACAAACUGCUUAAACAUAAGGAUCGACAAAAAAAGUUACAAGAAGAGGCCAGCAAUGUUUCUACAUCAACUCUGGAUCCAUCUCUUGUAGUGGAACAUAGAUGUCCUGAUCGAAUAAGACAAGUGGAAGCAGUGAUAGACUCCCUGAUUGAGGAUCUCCACAAACCACUCAAACCUAAUGGACAACAAAAACAGUUUAAAGGAGAGACCAGUAAUAUUUCUGCAUUGGAACAAACAGCAUUUCUCGCCUCGGAUAACCUGUUGGAACAGAAUAACCAUUGUAUGUUACCUCAAUAUUAUUUUCUGACAAAAUCAGGCUUGAAGCAUGCCAAACCCAAAAUGUCAACAAAAAUUAAGUCAAAAGCAUGCAGUAAAGGGAAACUAUUUAAAAAUGCUAAGAAAGCUGCUGUAAUAACUUCAGAUCCUUCUAUUGGAGCAGAAAAUGGAUGUCUUGAAAUACCUUCCCACUUUACCCAAGCAGAGAAAGGAGGAAAGGGAGAUGUAAAAACCAAUAAAUAUGUAGGAAAGCAUGAAAAGGAAGAAGUGAUAUCAGUGACCGGUGAUCAUUUGGAAACAGCGGCCCACAAACCACAUCAACGUAAGGGGCCAAGAAAGAAGCUAAAAGAAGAGGACAGCAGUGUUUCCAAACCAGAACAAGUAGAAUCUACUACUUCAGAUAGCCAGCUAAAACAGCAUGGCCACAAUGAUUCACAACAAGUUUCUUUGCUAGUAUCGGCGGCAAAGACAGAAUCAGGAAUAGAGCAUAUCAUGCCAGAAAUGGAAAUGACAAAUAAGCCAAAAACAUGCAGAAAAAGGAAAAUACUGUCCAAGCAAAGCUCAAAGAUCACUGAAACUCCAACCCCACCAAGUUCAAAACCAUCUCUUGGAGUGGAAUAUAGAUAUUCUGUAAUGGCUACCCCUUUCACACAUGUGGACCAGGUUCAGAAUAUUCUUGAUACUCCUAAAGGCUCCAAAGCGAGUAAUGGAAAUACUGGAUCAAACCAUCCAAUAUCCAAUGUCAGACAUUCCAGACGGCCCUCUAAAUCGAAUUCACAUAUCACAACUGACUUGAUGCAAGAUCAAGCCAUUUUAUCAGUUACAUCACAUCUCACUAAUCAACCUACCAGUCCUGUAUCAACAACCGUGUCCUCAACUGCAGCACAAGGACAGCUUACUGAAUUAGUGAGUUCUCUUUGUACAGAUAAAAGGCCGCAUAAAAUAGGGAGGCCUCCAAAGAAGAAAAAGUCUCAGAGACCAAAAAGAACCGGUAUUGAUAAGAAUAUCACAGAUGAUGACAAAGUGUGUGUUAAAUUCUUAUCAGCAUUUGUAAAAGAGGAACUAAUUGAGGAAGAGAAAAGUCUAGAAAAUAGGGGAAAAGAAAAGAACGGCAAAGGGAAGAAAGGCAAAAUUCUCCAAACAGACAAUGUGAAGGUGAAAGAUGGCAAUGCAUUAGCAGAUGACAAAUUAGUUUUACAAGUCCCUAUAGAUGAAGCAGGGGACUCUAUAUCUAUUGCAAUAGACCCAAUCAGUGCUGUAAUUCCCAAACAUAAAAAAGGUGGUCGUAUUGCCAAGGGUAAAAGAGUGCAAAAAAUUGCAUCCACCCCCAACAUCCCCAGUGACCAGCAAUGCAUGAAUAUGUCCCCAGAAGAAAUGUCUCUGUGUCUCAGCAAUAUAUCAGAAAAACACAGAAAACGAAAAGUUGACAGCAGCAGUGCUGAUUUUGUUAAUGCAGAUAUAAAUGUUCUAAAUCUUAAAGAUGAUCUUAGUGAUAGAUCUGAAAUACCGGACUCAUCCUUACUAGGGACUCCGAGGGUGAAGAACAAGGGUAAGAUCAAAUCCAAGACAAUUACAGAAGAAAAGACAGUGGCCACAUCAGUGGUAAAAGAGAUGGUGUGGCUAGAUUUACAGACCAACAUAGCAGCACUGAAAAAGAAACGUGGUCGGCCAUUCAAGAAAAGUACCUUGAUGAGAAUGGCAAAACAGUGGUCAUGUGAACAGCAGAAGUCAAACACUAGCAGAAAACUUUCAGUGAACAAGACGCAGAGCUGCAAAUCAAUGGGAACUUCUAAGGGAGGGAAAAUGCACAAAUUCAACCCAAUGUCAACAACUUCAAGAAGGCACACUAGAGCAUCUGUGGCAAUGAAGAAUGAAGACCUUGUUCUUAAACAACAGCAAGACGACAUAUGGGAGAUCACUGAUGUGUCCAGCAACAUUUUCUUCCCAAUUGUGACUAAUUCCCACAGUAUUUCAGUGCAAGAAAUCGAAACUUCGGGAACUAUUUUCUCUGUUGAUGCAGGGGCGACACAAGGAAUCCAGCAAGUUGAGUCUACCCCAUUAACAACCCCUCUCACAAAAUUACCUCAUAAAGUGACUGCCGUGAAGAAGAGACGCAGGAGAAAUAAAACUGGAUGGGCUACAAAAGUGAAAUCCAAACGACCUCUCUCCAAAGUGAACUGCGGGGGUACGCUUGAGGUGUUUGUUCAGUCUUCCAUUGACAACACUGGACUCUCAUUCAACUCUAGCCUCUGUAAUUCGUUAACAGAAAAUGACACAUUGGAAAGUGUUGAACAAGAGAAAGAAUGUAGAACGAACUACAAUCGAGUUUGUGCGGAGAAGGAGAUCAACUGUGGCGAUCAACCCCUAAUAGCUUGUGCUAAAUUGCAGCAUUCAAGUGUACUCCUACACAAUCUUAAGACAAGGAAACCUAUGUCAUGUCAUUUCUGCAGUCGCUCAUUCCGUCACAUAACCGCAUACACAAUUCACAAGCGCAUUCACACAGGUGAGAAGCCUUACAGUUGCCAAAAGUGCGGCAAGAGCUUUGCUCAUCUCUCCAAACUCAAAUCACACUCAAACAUCCACAAACAACAUGGGCCCAUUCAAUGCCCAUGUUGCAUCACUCAGUCUCCAAAUAAAGAUGACUUGAUUGAUCAUUUCAAGAUCCACAUGAAGGGUACCAAGAGGUUCAGUUUGAUUAAUAAAACAAGAAGAGACAAAGAAAUCCAGAUCCACCCUUACACUGAUUACAUAGAGUCCCCAGUCACUCUUAAUGGCAGGAAAUUCCUUCGAUGCUCCACUUGUUUUAAAUAUUUUUUCAGUAAGGCCACAUUGAAGCUGCACCUACAAACACACAGUGGAGUGAGGCGUUUCACCUGCAAAGUCUGUGGCAAGAUGUUUAUCACGUUCUCAAGUUUCAAUGCACAUGAAAAAACACACUGGCCUGUUAAACCGUAUGCUUGCUCUGUGUGUGGAAAAGGCUUUGUUCUGCUUAGGGAGCUCAAAACCCACUCCCAUAUGCACUCAGGAGAGAUGCCUUUCUUCUGUAACCACUGUGGUCAGGCCUUUAGCGACUUCUCAUCCUUGCGCACACAUCAAGUCUCCAAAGUGUGUUUUGAGGCGAGAGACGAAGGGGAUGGAAACAAGGUUGACAUUGAGGGGUUCCUGGUGGAGCAAAGGGCUGAUGGGCAGAUUAAUACCCCAAUGUACUUUAAAUGUCAGAUUUGCAAACAACUUAAUCGUCACUGGUGUCAGUACGUUCUUCAUCUGCAAACACACACUAAUAACAAGCCAAACCUUUGUGAGAUCUGUGGACAACGGUACGAGGUUCCUGAAUUAUGUGUUCAUUGUAGAGUGUGCUGCAAAUCAAGUGGAGAGGAGAGGGCAUGCAAUUCGUCCUUGUCAGAGGUCUGGCAUGAACCCCAAUCUCUGCAACAUCCGAUGCAUGUGACUGAAAUAGAUUUUCUGUACAAUGCUAAUCAGGAAAUGUUAUCUACUGAUGACCAACAUCCUAAAUGCAAGGAGCCUGAGCCCCUGCCACCUCUGGAAACUAUGGAGGAGUAUUCCUCAGAUGUGCUUCCACAAAACCCCAAACCUGCUUGCCAGAUCCCAGGUAAUGGGUUAGCGAUAAAUCGACCUUCUCCCUCAAACUCCAUGUGUGCAAGUUCUGCCAUAUUGGCCCCCUCUGUAAUGAGCUGUAAUUCAGUAUGUGUGGUUCAACAGCCUUCAGGUUUUCACUCUCGUUUUCAGACCCAUGCUCCUUGUGACAGAUAUCCCCGUGGACAAUGUGGAAAAUCCUUUAACCGGUGGAAUAAGCUCUGGUUGCAUCAGGGACGACACAGAGAAAAACGCUGUAGCUUCUCAUGCACUCAGUGCAAUUUAGAGUUUCGCUUCUUAGGCUCCUAUAGGGAGCACAUGCAGGGACAUGCAGCGCAGAGACCCUAUGUUUGUCCGUUAUGUCCCAAAAACUAUAUCACGGAAGAAGACUUAAAUACCCAUCUGUGCGAAAAUCACCAGCCGUGUGAAAGCCUGAAAUGUGACACGUGUGAAAAGGGUUUCAUCAGUUUCAGAAAUUUGGAGAGACAUCGUCUGUUACACAGAGCUGCUAGCUCGCACUAUUGUCUCCCUUGCAAGCUCCCAUUUCCUAGUUACCUAGCCUUAAAGAAUCACUUGAAGGCUCACAAAGCCCGCCCUGUUAUCCCUGUCCCUGAAGGGCCAUUGGAACCACUUCGGUUUCCCUAUCACUGUAGAAAAUGUAAUGCCAGAUUUACAACCACAGACUUGCUCCAAGCCCAUCAGGUUUGCCAUCUUAUAGGGGGGAAGAAAACAUAUAGCAGUUCAGCAAAUGUAGUUUCUGCUUCCCUGACCUCCAAGCUCUCAAACAGACCAAGAGCGAGAGUCACCCCUCUAUCCCCUACGACAGUACCUAGUCUUCUUCUGCCAAAGAAAAGGAACAUGUAUAGGUAUCCUCACCCUGAUCGUCUCUAUGUCGUCCCUAAAAUAUCCUCACAGCCACCGGUCAUUGUUUCGGACACAGAAGAAGAGCCCCAAGAGAUUCUAAACUUUAGCUUAUCCUCAGUCCACGACUCGCCCUGUAACACUGUGUCCCUUGAACAUGAAGGGCGAACCAGCCCUAGCAAUAAUUGUUGUGAGGCAAACAACUCGGAUCUACCUCAGUGCUCAUGCCCCUCAUGUGUCCUUAUUUAUGAACCUACUCAAUGUAUGCCAAAAACAGACACCCCACACAUGCCGACUCAUGAACCACCAUGUCCCUUGGAUAAAGGUCAUCAGAAUGUACCACCUCAAAGAUGGAAAAAGUCUAUGGGUAAUGAUGAUGCUUUCUUUAGAGCCUCAACAACAUUUGUGAUAUCAAGGGGCAAAAAACAGCAGAUUGGCUUUGAGUGUGCUGAUUGUUGGGUAAGAUUUAGUGACGUCUCAGAGCUACAUGAGCAUUACUUACAUCAUGCCAGGGGGGUGAAGUGAAAAUCAAUGUAUUUUUUUCCACUAAUGGACAUUUGCAUCGGAAAGUAUUCAGACCGAUUUACUUUUUCCAAAUGUUGUUAUGUUACAGCCUUAUUCUAAAAUGUAUUUUUGCAAAUGUAUAAAAAAAUAUAUGAAAUAUCACAUUUACAAGUAUUCAGAUCUUUUACUCAGUACUUUGUUGAAGCACCUUUGGCAGUGAUUACAGCCUGGAGUCUUCUUGGGUAUGACGCUACAAGCUUAGCACACCUGUAUUUGGGGAGUUCCUCCCAUUUUUCUUUGCAGAUCCUCUCAUACUCUGUCAGGUUGGAUGAGGAGUGUCGCUGCUCAGCUAUUUUCAGGUCUCUCCAGAGAUGUUCUAUCGGGUUCAAGUCUGGGCUCUGGCUGGGUCACUCAAGGAUAUUCAGAGACUUGUCCCAAAGCCACUCCUGUGUUGUCUUUGCUGUGUGCUUUGGGCCAUCCUGUUGGGGUGAAGGUUCUUCCAAUAUAAGGUCCUGAGCGUUCUGGAUCAAGUUUUCAUCCGAUCAUCUUUCCCUUGAUCCUGACUAGUCUCCCAGUCCCUUCUGCUGAAAAACAUCCCCACAGCAUGAUGCUGCCACCACCAUGCUUCACCAUAUGGAUGGUGCCAGAUUUCCUCCAGAUGUGAUUCUUGUCAUUCAGGCCAAAGAGUUCAAUCAUGGUUUCAUCAGACAAGAGAAGCUUGAUUCUCAUGGUCUGAGUCCUUUAGGUGCCUUUUGGCAAACUCCAAAUGGGCUGUCAUGUGCCUUUUAGUGAGGAGUGACUUCCGUCUGGCCACUCUACCAUAAAGGCCUGAUUGGUGGAGUGCUGCAGAGAUGUUUGUUCUUCUGGAAGGUUCUCCCAUCCCACAGAGGAACUCUUGAGCUCUGUCAGAGUGACCAUCGGGUUCUUGGUCACCUCCCUGACCAAGGCCCUUCUCCCCCGAUUUCUCAGUUUGGCCAGGUGGCCAGCUCUAGGAAAAGUCUUGGUGGUUCCAAACUUCUUCCAUUUAAGAAUGAUGGAGGCCACUGUGUUCUUCGGGACCUUCAAUGCUGCAUAAAUUUUUUGGUGUCCUUUCCCAGAUCUGUGCCUCGACACAGUCCUGUCUCAGAGCUCUACGGACAAUUUCUUUGACCUCGUGGCUUGGUUUUCCCUCGUACACGCAUUGUCAACUGUGGGACCUAAUAUAGACAGAUGUGUGCCUUUCCAAAUCAUGUCCAAUCAAUUGAAUUUACUACAGGUGGACUCCAAGUUGUAGAAAGAUCUCAAAGAUGAGCAAUUGAAACAGAAUGCACCUGAGCUCAAUUUUGAGUCUCAUAGCAAAGGGUCUGAAUGCUUGUGAAAAUAUUGCUGUUUUUUUAUAACAUUUGCAAACAUUUCUAAAAACCUGUUUCGCUUUGUCAUUAUGGGGUAUUGUGUGUACAUUGAUGAGGAAAAUGUUUUGUUUAAUCCAUUUUAAAAUAAAUGUGGAAAAAGUCAAGGACUGAAUACUUUCCGACUGGACUGUAUAUCAUUGUUUUUGAUGAGUACUAAAUAAGUUUCAGAGUUAACCAUGGUUGUCUUCAUAGCUAUAGCAAUGGUUAAAUUAAUAAUUCACUCCAAACCACUAAUUCCUAUGAUUUUCAUUGUUAAAUAACCCCAAUAUGUAUGUUCGUCGUUAUGUUAAGGUAGGAAGCAACUUGAAAAUUGUUGCAGACAUUUUUUGGAGCUAAAGUCAACUACACUUCUCUCCAGACAGGAGGGCUGGCUAGCUUGCUAGAAAACAUAACCAUACACAAUAUUACUAAAGUCAAUAUCAGCAUGUGAAGUAGCUAGUUAGCUGUAAAAUCUCAAACACUGCACUAUCAAUUUUAGAGUUACAAUCUCACCAUGUUCAACCUGGUAGAGAUUUUGUCUUGCUCAAAACAGUGAGUGAGGUUGUGAAUGCAACACAAUGGACCUGUGCUGCUAAGGUCCAUUGGUACGUAGUUGGAGGAAAGGAUAUUGAUCUGACGGUGCACUGUGUACUUGAACGCAAGUCUAAGAAGUGGUAGAUAUCCUAGUGUUUACCUGUGGCGGCAGGUAGCCUAAUAGUUAGAGCGUUGGGCCAGUAACUGAAAGGUUGCUGGAUCAAAUCACUGAGCUGACAAGAUCAAGGCAGUUAACCCACUGUUCCCCGGUAGGCCGUCAUUGUAAAUAAGAAUUUGUUCUUAACUGACUUGACUAGUUAAAUAAAGUAAAAAAUAAAUAAAGAUAUGUUCUAUGUGCAGAAUUUCUAUACUUCACGUUCUAUUUUUGGUCUUUUACUUCUUUUUUUUUACACCAGCUUCAAACAGCUGAAAAUACAAUACCUUUUUGUUACUAAAAAGCGGUUUGGAUGGUACAAUUUUCUACACUUGCUUGUUUUGUCACAAACUUCAAUUAUGCAAAAUCUAAAACAAAUUUCAACCAGGAAAUGGCAAAGCAAUUUCUGCAUAUUGGAUAUUUUUAAAGGCGUUAUGAAAUAUGAUAGUCUUUUUGGAAAUAGGGAUUAACAAACCAUCACCAAAUUGACAGGAGUUUCACUCCUGGAGUGGAUUAUCCAUUUAACGUUAACCUUUGUUUAUUUUUAUUUUUUAUAUAUUCAUAUUCACACUGAUUGUACAAAACAUUAAGAACACCUUCCUAAUAUUGAAUUGCCCCCCCCCCCCCCCACCUGUGAAAAACACCCAGCAGCUCCUAGCACCUACUACCAUACCCUGUUCAGUAACCUGUUCAAAGGCACUUCAAUCUUUUGUCUUGCCCAUUCACCGUCUGAAUGGAACACAUACACAAUCCAUGUCUCAAUUGUAUCAAGGCUUAACAUUUCUUCUUUAACCUGUCUCUUUCCCUUCAUUUACACUGACUGAAAUGGUUUUAACAAGUGACAUCAAUAAGGGAUCAUAGCUUUCAACUGGUCAGUCUGUCAUGGAAAGAGCAGGUGUUCUUAAUGCUUUGUACACUACUGCAAGAAUGUGCCUUUUGAAUUGAUUACAAACUUGUCAUACUUUAAACAAUUAUUCAUAUCCAGUGGUGGAAAAAGUACCCAAUUGUCAUACUUGAGUAAAAUGAUAGAUACCUUAAUAGAAAGUUACUCAAGUGAAAGUCACCCAGGAAAAUACUACUUGAGUAAAAUUAUUUGGUUCUAAAUACACUUAAGUAUCAAAAGUAAAAGUGUACAUCAUUUCAAAUUCCUUAUAUUAAGCAAAGCAGACUGUACCAUUUUCUUGUUUUAAAAAUGUAGGAGAGCCAGGGGUACUCUCCAACACUGACAUUAUUUACAAACGAUGCAUUUGUGUUAGUUAGCUUGCCAGAUCAGAGGCAGAGGGAUGACCACGUGUUCUCUUGAUAAGUGUGUGAAUUGGACCAUUUUCCUGUCCUGUUAAGCAUUCAAAAUGUGAUUAGUACUUUUGGGUAUCAGGGAAAAUGUAUGGAGUAAAAAGUAAAUGAUCAUCUUUAGGAACGUAGUAGUAAGUAAAAGUUGUCAAAUAUAAAUCGUAAAGUACAGACCCCAUAAAAAUACUUUAAAGUACUACUUAAGUACUUUACACCACUGUUCAAAUCUGUCCUGCUGCUGUUGGCAAAGUUUUCUUUGUUCUAUUUUUGUAAGAGCUUUAUGUACACAGACACCAUGAGUGUCUCUCUUUUUAUUAUGUUUAACAUGGGAUAUAUUGCACAUUUGAUAACGCACACUAAUUGCAUCCUUUGGGGAAACUGUUAGAUCUGCUUUCCAAACAGUCAAUAGUCUGGUAAUGAUGAUUACUUAAACAUCUUUGAUUUUUGGAAGGUUGUUUGGCACGUUAUAGAAAAUCAGUCAUUUUUAAAUGUCAGAGAUUUCAUUGGACAUUCAGUAAGUAUUACUCAUUGAAUAUUUAGGCACUGUGUGCACGUACAACAUGAGUAUGAAAAUGUUUGAAAUGUAAUUGUAACACAAAGAUGUGAUAAAAUAUUAGUUAUUGAUUCUGUGCUGGUAAGUUUUCAUUCUUUAGUCACUGUCUCAUUAUCAAUGCAAAAUGUGUUUUGCUUUUUACUUUUGAUUUACAGUAGUCUGACAAUAAAAGUUGACAUUACA